GGAGCCGAGUGACAGGCAUUGCUGCCUAGAUGUCUCUCUCUCUCUCUCCUAUGGGCACUGCGUCUGCCUACAUUAACCAUAAUCCUCUUCUGCUUACGUCACUUAUCCGGAUGUGAUGGUAACCCUGUUGUAUUCAUCUGUUUAACCUCUUCCUGUCCCAGCUCCCGCCCUUAGCCUAUAAAAGGAGUUCUGAACUUGUUGAUCUGCAGGCCGGAUCAAGUGGCGCUCAGCGUGGGAGCCCCUGGCACGGAGAAGUUAACGAGGGAGCCGUUCGAGAGACAGCCGGCUUAAACCGAAA
This is a long non-coding RNA of Cavia porcellus (domestic guinea pig), 298 nucleotides long. RefSeq lists it as uncharacterized. The transcript has 2 exons. NCBI's taxonomy places the organism in Eukaryota, Metazoa, Chordata, Mammalia, Rodentia, Caviidae. The record is from RefSeq and is a predicted model, not a curated record.